CAUUCGAAUCAUUUAUUCCCGAGUAUUCAUAUUGUUAACAUAAUAAAUAACGCAAUAAUUAUGUUACGAUAUACGUUGCUAAUGCUUUUAUAUAUAACAACAUGUGGUCUCGCGUUGGAAUCAUCAAUUACAACUGAUACAGCGGUCAACUUGCCAGAUAUUUUUACAGCUCCAGGUAAAUUAUUAUCAGGUUUGAAUGGAAACUUGUCUCCAGCACAGCAAAUUAUUUAUAUUUAUGGACCGAACCAAUGGAAAAUGCAAAAUAAUGUCAAUCUCAUAGAAAAAGCAGGCAACGAUUACCUUAUUACACCUGGCAUAGGUGCUCAUAAACUUCAUAUUCGCCAGUUGUCAUGGAACAAGGCUCGUAGAAUUUGCAUUCAAGAAGGGGGUCACUUGGCUAUUAUCAACUCUAACUCGGAAGAAAAAAUAUUAAUACGCAUUUUGGAAGAAAAUAAAGUAUCUGAAGCAUGGCUUGGUAUACAUGAUCUUUUCGAAGAGGGCGAUUGGAACACGGUUAUGGACGAAAGCUUAGAAGCUACCGGUUUUUCAAAAUGGACUACGACAUUGGAUAUUAAUGUGCCUGAUAAUUCCAACGACGGACAGCAUUGCGGAGUUUUAAUGACUAAUGGUGGAAUGAAUGAUCGCGAAUGCUAUCAUGCAAAAGCCUUUUUCUGCGAGAUUACCUUCUGAAUCAUACUAAAACUCGGUAAAUCACGAACGCAAGAUUGUAAUCGAACACUGCAAUGAUACGUGAUCUAUCAAAGGUUAUAAUUAAAUGAGAUAAUCCAAAAGUGCGUUAUUAAAAUGGAAUUAACAACGUUAAUAACAACGCAAACAUGCGAUAUCAUGAUUAAAUAAGACGGACCACCUUAUAGGCACUUUCAGCCGUCCUAUUGAUUUUCCUGUGGAAGCGCACGCGCUACUCUGUUCCCGAUUGCGA
RNAcentral lists this unclassified non-coding RNA (940 nucleotides) under Camponotus floridanus (Florida carpenter ant). RNAcentral's name for it is "hemolymph lipopolysaccharide-binding protein-like, transcript variant X2". The record is from RNAcentral. Lineage: Eukaryota; Metazoa; Arthropoda; Insecta; Hymenoptera; Formicidae.